AGGGAAUCUUCCGCAAUGGGCGAAAGCCUGACGGAGCAACGCCGCGUGAGUGAUGAAGGUUUUCGGAUCGUAAAGCUCUGUUGCCAGGGAAGAACGUCGGAUAGAGUAACUGCUAUCCGAGUGACGGUACCUGAGAAGAAAGCCCCGGCUAACUACGUGCCAGCAGCCGCGGUAAUACGUAGGGGGCAAGCGUUGUCCGGAAUUAUUGGGCGUAAAGCGCGCGCAGGCGGCUGUUUAAGUCUGGUGUUUAAUCCUGGGGCUCAACCCCGGGUCGCACUGGAAACUGGACAGCUUGAGUGCAGAAGAGGAGAGUGGAAUUCCACGUGUAGCGGUGAAAUGCGUAGAGAUGUGGAGGAACACCAGAGGCGAAGGCGACUCUCUGGGCUGUAACUGACGCUGAGGCGCGAAAGCGUGGGGAGCAAAC
Molecule: ribosomal RNA, 424 nt
Filed under: uncultured bacterium
Lineage: Bacteria
Description: bacterial SSU rRNA
Rfam family: Bacterial small subunit ribosomal RNA
Source: RNAcentral